Molecule: long non-coding RNA, 1126 nt
Organism: Astyanax mexicanus (Mexican tetra)
Lineage: Eukaryota; Metazoa; Chordata; Actinopteri; Characiformes; Acestrorhamphidae
Exons: 3
Source: RefSeq, a predicted model, not a curated record
AGUUACCAAGAUUCUGAUUUUGUAUAAAAAUAGUGUAACAAAAACAAAGUAAUGUAACGACAAAUAUUAUUGUGCACGAAAUUAUAUAGCACACCCCUUGUUCUAAUAUGUAUUUAUGAUAUGCAUUUUAUUUUACUUUUUGUACAUGUUUAGACACUGUCCCAACUUAAUUCUUCUUUUUUUUGUUUUUUUUUAGGUGAAGUGUUGUCGCCGCUGCCAACUAAAUGACCCCAUGAAGACGGGGACACCAGUGUUACAUUCUAUUAAGGUGAAGGCUGCAUGGGAGGUGAUUGGCCUGGAUUUAAUUGGCCCACUGCGAGAAACUGGUCAAAAAAACAAGUAUGUGUUGACCAUGACUGAUUUAUAUACAAAGUGGGUUGUUGCUGAGCCACUGCAAAAUAAGACUGCAACUGAAGUGUCAGCAGCCAUCAUAAAGACACUCUACUUGUUCGGCAUGGUCAAGAAAAUUAUUACUGACCAAGGGAGAGAGUUCGUUAAUGAGCUGAAUGAAAACAUCUUUGCAACUCUGAAAAUCAAACAUGCUGUCUCAAGUGCCUACCACCCUCAGACAAAUGGGCAGGUAAUUUUCAACAUAAUUUUAUUUGACAUUUCCCUGUAAUGUUAAAAAAAAUUAGGAAAUGUUUUAAUUGUUGUUGUUUUUUAUAUAUAUAUAGGAUGAGCGAACAAAUCAAAAUGUCAAACGUGUAUUGCGGAAGUAUGUAAAUGAAAGCCAUAAUGAUUGGGACAUCCAUUUACCUGCAGUUGUGUAUGGUAUUAACACUGCUAAGCAAGUGGGUAUUCAUUAUACAUUCAUUAUGGUCGAUAUAUAAUGUAAUCGAUAUAUAAUGUUUUAUUUCUGAUAACUUAAUUUGUUUUUAACCAGUCUUCAACCAGGCACACCCCGUAUUUCUUAUUCUUCCAUCGGCACCCUCAUUUGCCAGAGGUUAUGAACGCCUGUCCCAUGGGAGAAGACUUUAAAAUUGCUGACCCAGAAGAUGAUCUUGACACCCGAGUAAAUGAAAUGAAAAUUUUAAAUGAGAAGGUUAGGUCCAAAUUCAUGUAGUCUGACCACAGAAGUUUUUUUUAAUUCAAUGGCAUGUAGUAAAGUGUAAUUUUUUUUUUUUUU